GCUUUCCCUUUCUUCUAGACAUUGUUCUUCUUUCCACAUUGUUUCUGCAUGGUUAAUUAUAAUCUUCAUAUCAUGAAGAAAAUAAGUCCUUUGUUACUGUUAUGCAGUUUUCUGGGAGAAUGCAAAAGAUUUGUACCUUCCUGGUUUUUCAGAUCAGGGGUCAUGAAUAAACUGCUUCACAAGAAUGGAUUGAUUCAGAAACCGCACCUGGCUUUUCCGGAGUAUCAGAGGCAAAUGCAGGAAAAUUUACUGGUCUGAAUACUCUUCAGAGACCUAUAUGACGUGAUGUACAGUGAUGGGAAGAAUGUUUUGUAUGGUGUAAAAGACACACUAGACAUGGAAUAUAGGUCCUUGAAGAAACGUUCAAAGGAAAUGUCAAGGAAGAUUCUUACGAGGCUGAGAUUCCAAAGGAUAAUCAUCAUACCCAUCAAUGAGGUGCUUAGGAUCACAUCGUGUUUUAUUUGGGCAAGCACGCAUUUUGUAGUGAGUUACAUAUCUCGCCUGCCUAAACUGAUGCAAGAUUCAAGAAUAAAUCCAUCACGGGUACAUACAGAGCUCCUUCUUGCUAUGGAGAACCUAUUCCUUCUGUUCUAUAUUUGUCUAAACCCUUAACCACGAUUACCGAAACUAAUGAACAAUGACAAGUAGCUAAAACCAAGUUGAUGGGUAACAUCCCUUGCUUUUGGCCCUUGAGAAGAUCUCAUGGGUGACUAUGCCCUCCCAUCAGGGGAUGGUAAACAACAAGCCAACAACACACUUCCCUAUAUUAUUAUUAUCGUUUUGAUUGGUUACAGACUUCCCUAUGGACUUGGAUCUUUCAAAAAGCUGGAGUAUGAGAGUAGGAUACUCAUGUAAGGGAAAGGCUUACGGUUCCCCAUUUCCUGAAACUUGAAAGCUAAAUCUACUGGGAAUUUGAACUCUAGAAAGUUGGUUGUUUAGGACUCCUAGUGAACCAUACAAAUGGAGCAGAAAAAAAAUA
Molecule: long non-coding RNA, 979 nt
Organism: Magnolia sinica
Lineage: Eukaryota; Viridiplantae; Streptophyta; Magnoliopsida; Magnoliales; Magnoliaceae
Exons: 2
Source: RefSeq, a predicted model, not a curated record